This 636-nucleotide ribosomal RNA is filed under the name Cortinarius traganus f. ochraceus. RNAcentral describes it as "eukaryotic LSU rRNA". It matches the Rfam family "Eukaryotic large subunit ribosomal RNA", at positions 1 to 627 of the family's 3401-position model. Lineage: Eukaryota; Fungi; Basidiomycota; Agaricomycetes; Agaricales; Cortinariaceae. The record is from RNAcentral.
UGACCUCAAAUCAGGUAGGACUACCCGCUGAACUUAAGCAUAUCAAUAAGCGGAGGAAAAGAAACUAACAAGGAUUCCCCUAGUAACUGCGAGUGAAGCGGGAAAAGCUCAAAUUUAAAAUCUGGCAGUCUUUUGGCUGUCCGAGUUGUAAUCUAGAGAAGUGUUAUCCGCGCUGGACCAUGUACAAGUCUCCUGGAAUGGAGCAUCAUAGAGGGUGAGAAUCCCGUCUUUGACAUGGACUUCCAGGGCUUUGUGAUGCGCUCUCAAAGAGUCGAGUUGUUUGGGAAUGCAGCUCAAAAUGGGUGGUAAAUUCCAUCUAAAGCUAAAUAUUGGCGAGAGACCGAUAGCGAACAAGUACCGUGAGGGAAAGAUGAAAAGAACUUUGGAAAGAGAGUUAAACAGUACGUGAAAUUGCUGAAAGGGAAACGCUUGAAGUCAGUCGCGUCGUCCAGGGAUCAACCUUGCUUUUGCUUGGUGCACUUCCUGGUUUGAUGGGUCAGCAUCAAUUUUGACUAUUGGAAAAAGGUUAAGGGAAUGUGGCAUCUUUGGAUGUGUUUAUAGCCCUUGGUCACAUACAAUGGUUGGGGUUGAGGAACUCAGCACGCCGCAAGGCCGGGUUUUAACCACGUACGUGCU